CAACUCUUCAAGGUUGACCUCAGAUCAGGUAG
RNAcentral lists this ribosomal RNA (32 nucleotides) under Septofusidium herbarum. RNAcentral's name for it is "partial 28S ribosomal RNA". The record is from RNAcentral. Lineage: Eukaryota; Fungi; Ascomycota; Sordariomycetes; Hypocreales; Tilachlidiaceae.